RNAcentral lists this ribosomal RNA (460 nucleotides) under uncultured bacterium. RNAcentral's name for it is "partial 16S ribosomal RNA". It matches the Rfam family "Bacterial small subunit ribosomal RNA", at positions 338 to 795 of the family's 1533-position model. The record is from RNAcentral.
CCUACGGGUGGCAGCAGUGAGGAAUAUUGGUCAAUGGGCGAGAGUCUGAACCAGCCAAGUAGCUUGAAGGAUGACUGCCCUAUGGGUUGUAAACUUCUUUUAUAUGGGAAUAAAAUGUUCCAUGUGUGGGAUUGUGUAUGUACCCUAUGAAUAAAGAACGGCUAAAUCCGUGCCAGCACACUCGGGUAUACGGGGGGUACGGUGGUUAUACGGGUUUUUUGGGGUUUAAGGGAGAGUAGGUGGGUUGUUAAGGUAGAUGUGAAAGUGUGCGGGUCAAACGUAAAAUUGCAGUUGAAACUGGCAGCCUUGAGUACAGUAGAGGUGGGCGGAAUUCGUGGUGUAGCGGUGAAAUGCUUAGAUAUCACGAAGAACUCCGAUUGCGAAGGCAGCACACUGGCGUGCAACUGACACUGAGGCUCGAAAGUGUGGGUAUCAAACAGGAUUAGAUACCCGGGUAGUC